Molecule: long non-coding RNA, 141 nt
Organism: Pipistrellus kuhlii (Kuhl's pipistrelle)
Lineage: Eukaryota; Metazoa; Chordata; Mammalia; Chiroptera; Vespertilionidae
Exons: 4
Source: RefSeq, a predicted model, not a curated record
ACACUGGAAACUGAGCCUACAAUCUGAGCCAUGUGCUCAGGCGGGAGUUGAACCAUGACCUCCUGGUUCAUAGGUUGAUGCUCAACCACCGAACCACACCAGUUGGGCCCUCUUAGAUUUCUAAAUAACCUUUGUGUGUGU